Molecule: non-coding RNA, 46 nt
Organism: Trichobilharzia regenti
Lineage: Eukaryota; Metazoa; Platyhelminthes; Trematoda; Strigeidida; Schistosomatidae
Source: Rfam
GUACUGCUGAAGAGUCCCAAACUAGGACGAAACAGCCGUUCAAUAC